RNAcentral lists this ribosomal RNA (414 nucleotides) under uncultured bacterium. RNAcentral's name for it is "bacterial SSU rRNA". It matches the Rfam family "Bacterial small subunit ribosomal RNA", at positions 28 to 432 of the family's 1533-position model. The record is from RNAcentral.
GACGAACGCUGGCGGCGUGCCUAAUACAUGCAAGUCGAGCGGAUUGAUGGGAGCUUGCUCCCUGAUAUCAGCGGCGGACGGGUGAGUAACACGUGGGUAACCUGCCUGUAAGACUGGGAUAACUCCGGGAAACCGGGCUAAUACCGGAUAACUCAUUUCCUCGCAUGAGGGAAUGUUGAAAGGUGGCUUUUAGCUACCACUUACAGAUGGACCCGCGGCGCAUUAGCUAGUUGGUGAGGUAACGGCUCACCAAGGCGACGAUGCGUAGCCGACCUGAGAGGGUGAUCGGCCACACUGGGACUGAGACACGGCCCAGACUCCUACGGGAGGCAGCAGUAGGGAAUCUUCCGCAAUGGACGAAAGUCUGACGGAGCAACGCCGCGUGAGUGAUGAAGGUUUUCGGAUCGUAAAGCU